Long non-coding RNA from Equus caballus (horse), 2557 nucleotides. NCBI's taxonomy places the organism in Eukaryota, Metazoa, Chordata, Mammalia, Perissodactyla, Equidae. The record is from Ensembl.
GCACUUCUGACUUCCUCGUCGAGCUCCUCUGCACCUCCCUCCCAGUGGCGUGGUGACUGGCCGCAGCAGCCUGCGUCCUGGAGCCCGUGUCGAGCGGAGCACCGCUGUCAGUCCAGGAGGGACGUGAGGCGCGGGUGCCAGUUAACUGUUCACGUCGCUCCUGUUUGGUCUCUGGGUGCUUCCUUUCUCCUGUGACGUCUCCCUCGCUGCUUGCCCUCCUGGCUCCAGCCUGAAGCGCCCGGUGAGGCUCCAGCAGCUGGUCGGGAGCUGGCGAGGAGGAGCCCCAGCUCGGCCUGCUGAGCCAUGGAGAGGAGUCUCGUUUCCAUCAGUUCUUCUCGGGCCUCUGAGCUUGGAGUGAGAUGAGAUCUGCCCUGGAUCCAGUAGCCAGGGCCCUUGCCUCACACGGACACAGGAAGGAAACAAAUGCCCACGACCAGCUUUCAUGUUUUUUCUCUACUCUUCUGGAAAAGAUAGGGUCCUGGCUUCCAGAACGUUCCCUGAAGCCAGGAAGGGCCAGGGCUCCAGUUUCGCCUUUGUCAGCUGCAGACCCGUUUGCAGUUCCAUCAGAAGGAGGCAUCGCCCCCAGAACACCCCUCCUCACUCCCACAGGACGUGGUCCCUGUGAAGGAAGGACUGUGUUGUCAGAGCUGCUGCCACUCAGCCUGUAAAGCGCCUCCCGACUCGGCGUGGCCUGUUUCCAUCUACCUGCUCUACGGUGCCUUCGAUUCUGGAAACCAGUUCAGUAAAUACGUCCGUACCUGUGCUAUACAUACAUAUAUCGAUAUAUAUGAAUAAACGCUCAUUGGACUAUCGUUUACGACAGGUUAAGACCAGCAACCACAGAGUGUGCCUGGACAGGGGCAGGUAAAUGCUGUGUGUUAAUCUGAUCACGGGGACCUCACUGGCUGUUUGUAGAAAUGAGGCUCCUCCACGCCUUGUCCCCGGGGGUUGGGAAGAUGCUCUGGGCUUGGCCAACCGGGUCUUGCUGUGGGAUUUAGGAGCUCAAGUGAGAGAGACAGAGCUGGAGGUGUCACGUGGCAGUGAGUGUGGUGCAUGGGGAGGGCUGCCUGGGUGUGACCUCUGUGGGGUCCCUGCUGCUGGCCUCCUGGGAGUGACCUGGUUCCUAGGUUCCCAGCAGGUCUGUGAACCCUGAGAGCUGUGGAUAGUUUCCUUUGUCCUUAAGACGGUGUCGGUGUCUGUGGUGGCCCCGAGGGCCCUGGGCACUGGAUCUGCUCCGGCCCACAUUACUCUGAACUGCAAGGUCACACGUGUGGGUCCCUGGCUCUGCAGCCAGACCACAGGCUCUCAGAUGGCAGGGCCACUUCUCACAUGUCCUUUAUCCCCAUGUCACCUCCUACAGGAUGUGGGAGCCCCACAAACACCAGGAACCAGCUGCAGGGCUGAUGGCAUGGAUCACCUCCCUCUGUCCACAUUGUUGGUCUCACGUGGCAGAUGGCAGGAAUGACCAUGACAGCAGGGACACACAUUGCUGGAGCCCUGCCUUUGCCCAGAGCUCGCACUGAGAACAACCAUUGCAAAGAGCAGAAUGGGUUUGACCUGGCCGACGUGGUGGUCACUCAUUAACACGGACAGAAGGGACCUGACGGUAGACGUGGGGGACGGGGAGCCCUCCUCCUGCUCAGAGCCGGUCCCGCUCCAGUACACCUGCCUGUGUCCAGAUCUGGGCAGUGGUGGGGUGAUGCACGAGAAGUGCAAAUGGGGGCAUCUUGGGGAGCUGCUGCUGACAAGGAUGGUUCCUGCAGAGAGGAGCCUUUGGGAGGUGAUGGCAGCUGAAUUACUCUGGGUUUGACUCUCUGUCUAUUUAAAAUUGACUAAACCGUGAAUCAUGCCUGCCACAUCCCGUGCAUGUUGGUUUCAGUGGAUUUGCUGUUAAUUUCUGCCUUAGGAAGAGCUGGGCCUCAGGAGAAACUCGAUAAGCAAAAGUGAGCAGGUGCAUCUUCUGAGAACCGACUGGAGUCAUCUUCACCAUGUGUUCAGGUGUCUGCUAAUUUUGUAAAAACAAUUUGUCCCUUGACAGUCCAUGAGUGGAGGAAGGAGUGAGUUCAGGUGGGAGGAGGAUGAAAUAAUGUACAAACAAGACGACUUUAUGAUGACAGUUCCCGCCCGAGGCCUCCUGACAUUUCACAGGUGUGACAGGAGGUCCAGCAUGCCCACGCUCCUCAAGUCCCAAAGAGACGCUCUCCUGUGCUCAGGCCACGCGGUGACAAAGCUCGGCAUGGCCUCCUUUCCAUCUAAGCCCUGGCCAGCUUCCUCCCUAAACCCAUCUUGGUGUGUCUGCGCCACCUUCUGGGUCUCCAUCCUGUCAAAGCCCAGAGCCUCUGGGGGCUGUUCCAAAGAUGUAAAAAUAUUCCAAAUAUUUACAAACUGGUACAGAAGGAGCUCCAGCUGGAAACAGCAAGAGGCCCACGCAGCCGGUGCUGGCCCUGCACCCUGCCACCUCCCCCGUCAGAUGUGCCUCCCUUGCCCCUGGCUUCGUCCAGCACCUUAAACACACUCGAGCAGUUCCCAUCCUAAAGGAAAGUCUUGCCUAAACCUG